UACGUAGGGGGCAAGCGUUAUCCGGAUUCACUGGGUGUAAAGGGAGCGUAGACGGCCAGGCAAGCCUGGAGUGAAAGCCCGGGGCCCAGCCCCGGGACUGCUCUGGGAACUGUCCGGCUGGAGUGCGGGAGGGGCAGGCGGAAUUCCUGGUGUAGCGGUGAAAUGCGUAGAUAUCAGGAGGAACACCGGCGGCGAAGGCGGCCUGCUGGACCGCGACUGACGUUGAGGCUCGAAAGCUGGGGGAGCGAACAGG
Molecule: ribosomal RNA, 253 nt
Filed under: uncultured bacterium
Lineage: Bacteria
Description: partial 16S ribosomal RNA
Rfam family: Bacterial small subunit ribosomal RNA
Source: RNAcentral